Molecule: ribosomal RNA, 484 nt
Filed under: uncultured bacterium
Lineage: Bacteria
Description: partial 16S ribosomal RNA
Rfam family: Bacterial small subunit ribosomal RNA
Source: RNAcentral
AUUGAACGCUGGCGGCAGGCCUAACACAUGCAAGUCGAGCGGAUGAAGGGAGCUUGCUCCUGGAUUCAGCGGCGGACGGGUGAGUAAUGCCUAGGAAUCUGCCUGGGAGUGGGGGAUAACGUCCGGAAACGGGCGCUAAUACCGCAUACGUCCUGAGGGAGAAAGGGGGGGAUCUUCGGACCUCACGCUAUCAGAUGAGCCUAGGUCGGAUUAGCUAGUUGGUGGGGUAAAGGCCUACCAAGGCGACGAUCCGUAACUGGUCUGAGAGGAUGAUCAGUCACACUGGAACUGAGACACGGUCCAGACUCCUACGGGAGGCAGCAGUGGGGAAUAUUGGACAAUGGGCGAAAGCCUGAUCCAGCCAUGCCGCGUGUGUGAAGAAGGUCUUCGGAUUGUAAAGCACUUUAAGUUGGGAGGAAGGGCAGUAAGUUAAUACCUUGCUGUUUUGACGUUACCAACAGAAUAAGCACCGGCUAACUUCGUG